CACAAGCCGUGAUAAUUGUGAGCGGAGCGAGCAAUUAUAUUGUAAAGAAUACGGCGCGGAGUCGUAAAAUACGGCGCGGAGUCGUAAAAUACGGCAUAGAGCCGUAGGGAUACGGCGAAAGACACUUGUGUCUAGUGAUGUGGGAGGGAGCUGUCGAAGGUGGAGCCGAUGACUGGGGUGAAGUCGUAACAAGGUAUC
RNAcentral lists this ribosomal RNA (198 nucleotides) under uncultured bacterium. RNAcentral's name for it is "partial 16S ribosomal RNA". The record is from RNAcentral.